CGUGACAACUUCGGUACUUGAGGGGCAGACCUGGUCUAGGUGAUUGGAUGGGGAGGUCUGUUUAUCACCGGAGGAAUCUGGCCAGCAAAGAAGCAGCAUGAGUUGCUCACCCUAAGGCUGGCUGGCACGUGUGCACAAGGUCAAUCUGCUCGCCCCCAAGGCCCACCGCAGGCGACCUGGGAGCCGCAGUCCAGGAGUUCGCUAUCAUUGCCAUCAAAAGUGGCAGAUGGAGAUCCCUUUGGUGGAGGUGACCGAGGACAGCCGCAGUGAAGCAAAUGACAUGGCGAUUCAAUCCGGUGUAGCAUAGCCAUUCUAGCUCCGGUGUUGCUGCUGCUGCUGCAGAUGGGCUAGCCGUGGGGUUUUGCACCUCGCACGUGGAUUCCCCUGCCUUCGACUACACCAUGACAUUUGGACUUGGCCACACUCCCUGUGUGUUGAGCUGCUCACCCCGAGGGCCUGUCACGGUGACCUCCACAGUGGUUUUCAGUAGCUUAUGGGCAUGGGCAUGCAAAGGAGCUAUGUUAUUUUGGAUCAGUCUAUUUGAUGAUCUCCAUGCUGGAAAUAUGCAGACCAGAUUCUUGAGUUACUAGAUGUUUCACGUGAGCUGUCUGGGUCUGUGACAGAUUGUUGAAUCACAGUCCCUGUCCCGGUAAUGAUAUCAGUAAAGCAAGCCAUAUAGAAUUUUCAGGUGCAAGGUAAUUUCAUGCUUGGAGGAGACACUUUUUAUCUGUUACAUAUAGCCAUGGUUCUGAUGUGAAGAAAAUGCUGGUACUGGGAAUGUAUCGGUUGAAGACUUGACUCUCCUAGUAGAAAACGGGAUCUAGUUGUUUGAUCACCGGUAACCCUCGCCUACCAACUGAUUGUGACUUAACUAAUUCAAUGCUGGCUGUAAUGAACUAGCAAUGAUUAUACUGUAAUCUUAUGUGCAUUUUCUUUUACAUGUUCUAGAACAUCCCUAAAUCAUCUCCAGUUAUUGAACUAUGAAACAUGAUAUGUCGUGACAUGGAAGUUUUGACAUUCUCCUUUGCUUCUCUUGACCAUGGACUUUUUAUCCCUUCCUGAUGCUUGUUACAUGCCAUGCUGUAAUAGUCAAGGAGUAUUCAUGGUCACUUUUUCUGUUAUUAGCUUCUAAAGCCAUUUUCUAGUCACUCUCAAA
Lolium rigidum is the source of this 1156-nucleotide long non-coding RNA. RefSeq lists it as uncharacterized. Lineage: Eukaryota; Viridiplantae; Streptophyta; Magnoliopsida; Poales; Poaceae. The record is from RefSeq and is a predicted model, not a curated record. The transcript is spliced from 5 exons.